UACAGAGGGUGCAAGCGUUGUUCGGAAUUAUUGGGCGUAAAGGGCGCGUAGGCGGUGCGGUAAGUCUUUUGUGAAAUCUCCGGGCUCAACUCGGAGUCUGCAGGAGAAACUGCCGUGCUUGAGUAUGGGAGAGGUGAGUGGAAUUCCCGGUGUAGCGGUGAAAUGCGUAGAUAUCCGGAGGAACACCGGUGGCGAAGGCGGCUUCCUGGACCGACACUGACGCUGGGGCGCGAAAGCCAGGGGAGCAAACGGG
RNAcentral lists this ribosomal RNA (253 nucleotides) under uncultured prokaryote. RNAcentral's name for it is "partial 16S ribosomal RNA". It matches the Rfam family "Bacterial small subunit ribosomal RNA", at positions 524 to 776 of the family's 1533-position model. The record is from RNAcentral.